CCUACGGGGUGCAGCAGUGAGGAAUAUUGGUCAAUGGCCGGAAGGCUGAACCAGCCAAGCCGCGUGAAGGACGAAGGUGCCAAGCAUUGUAAACUUCUUUUGUCAAGGGACAAAAUCAGGCUCGAGAGCCUGACCGAGGGUACUUGAAGAAAAAGCAUCGGCUAACUCCGUGCCAGCCGCCGCGGUAAUACGGAGGAUGCGAGCGUUAUCCGGAUUUAUUGGGUUUAAAGGGUGCGUAGGCGGGCUGUUAAGUCCGCGGUAAAAGCCCGGGGCUCAAACCCGGCGAGCCGUUGAAACUGGCUGUCUUGGGAUGUCGAGAGGUAUGCGGAAUGCGCAGUGUAGCGGUGAAAGGCUUAGAUAUUGCGCAGAACUCCGAUUGCGAAGGCAGCAUACCGGCGGCGAUCUGACGCUGAGGCACGAAAGCGUGGGUAUCGAACAGGAUUAGAUACCCGAGUAGUC
This 459-nucleotide ribosomal RNA is filed under the name uncultured bacterium. RNAcentral's name for it is "partial 16S ribosomal RNA". It matches the Rfam family "Bacterial small subunit ribosomal RNA", at positions 338 to 795 of the family's 1533-position model. The record is from RNAcentral.